GUUUCAUUCAUAACGGGCCAGGCCCAGAAGAAACAAAAGGACAAAGGCCCUUAAAGCAGCUAACAAUCGCAUAGCUAAAAAAAUACAACGAAAAGAGCAAAGCUAGAAUAGCUGGCUAAUGGAAUAAAUUCCACCAAGCAGAAGACAAAAGCCAUAAAGGCACAGACUAAGAGAACCACAUGGAUGCCAUUAGAAACAGCUCGGGAAACAGAGAGAAAGAGUUGUUGACCAGAGAAGGGAGAUCUAAGACCCUUGAGCAAACCAAAUUGAUCCAUGGAGGAGGAGCAGGAAGCACCCAGAAAAGCACUUGGCAGCAGGGAAUCAUCAUCCAUUUCUUCUAUCACGCUCCAGCAGAAGCAGGAGAGAUGGUGGAGGAUUCCAAAGCCAAAGUGGAGGGAGGACUGCAGAUAUGGCAAGUUGGGCAACAGAAUGAGCCACUGCGUUACCUUCUCUUGGUGUCCAAAGAAAAGACCACUCAGGAAACUCUGACUUCCAAGCAUUGAUGUCCUGAAUGAUAUUAGCAAGCUCUCCAAUUUUCCUGACUCCAUUACAAGCUUCAAUUAAUUGUUUGCAAUCUGAUUCAAACCAAACCUUUUUUUGUUCCAGGUUAUGGGCAAUAUGCACAGCUUCUCUCAGGAUUAGCGCUUCUGCAGCAAGGGGGAAUUUGCAUAAAGCUUCUUGGCAGCACCACAAUUGACUAUUCCAAACUCAUCCCUGAAGAUAUAGGCUCCGCUAGCUUUCCUGGUGAAUCUGUUUUUCCAUAGCUGACAUAGACUUCAAGAGAAGGUUAGCUGCAUUUUUCAGGCAAAGGCUCGGGUUUGGGGGGAUUCCUUCAAAAACAGCUCUGUUGCGUGACUUCCAAAUUUCCCAAAGCAGAAUGGAAAAAUAAGCAAUAUCCUAGGUUGGAUCUGGAACUGCAGAGACCAAGGUUGAGAAGAGACUUUCCAACCAACUAGCAAAGGAAGAGGUAAGGGCUCCAAGAGGUGCAAGGCAUAAAGUGCUACCAAACCAAACAGCACGGGUCCAUGUACAACCCAACAAGGUGUGGUUAAUGUCCUCUGCCAUAGAGUUGCAAAUUGGGCAGGACUCAUCCCUAGCAAGGUUCCUUCUCUUCAGACUUUGGUUAAUUGGGAGCGCAUUGCUGCAAGCCUUCCAAAGGAAAGACUUAAUCUUCUGAGGGACUUUAGCACCCCAGAUAGUUUGCCAUAAAACCUGUGUGGGGUGGGAAGAGGAGGUGGCCAAACUCUGGUUGUUGCUGAUGGCAGCUUUGACAGUUUCGUACCCCGACUUAACUGUAAGGAGGCCUGAGGGCACUUGAGGCCAGAAGAGGCGAUCUUCCCCCCCUGAGAGGCUGAAGGAAGUUUGCAAGAUCUUUCCUACUUCAGUUGGGGGAAGGUAUUGCUGAAUGGUUUCAACCUUCCAUCUCUGAUGUUCCCUGUCAAUUAGAUCACUCACUUUUUGGUUCCAAGGGCCCCCAAUAAUCUUCUCUCCAGUAGCAAUCCAGCGAUGGUUUGAGAUAUCAACUUUCUCUCCCGUGCCAAUGCUCUAUUGGCCAUGGUUUAACAACAGGUCUCUUCCAAAGAGGAGGCUCGACCAGACCCAGGAAGCGUUCCUAGGCUUGGGAAUUGAGAGAAAGUCUGUGGUGGGGAAGUAGAUCCCUUUGAGAAUUCUGACCCAUAAGGCAGUAGGUUCUUGAUAUAUCCUCCACGCUUGCUUUGCCAGCAAAGAUUGGUUCAUUAUCUCUAAAUCUUUAAAACCCAUUCCCCCUUCUUCCUUUCUCAUAGUUAGGCUU
Molecule: long non-coding RNA, 1792 nt
Organism: Lotus japonicus
Lineage: Eukaryota; Viridiplantae; Streptophyta; Magnoliopsida; Fabales; Fabaceae
Exons: 2
Source: RefSeq, a predicted model, not a curated record